Molecule: non-coding RNA, 2938 nt
Organism: Oryctolagus cuniculus (rabbit)
Lineage: Eukaryota; Metazoa; Chordata; Mammalia; Lagomorpha; Leporidae
Source: RefSeq, a predicted model, not a curated record
UCUGCUUUGGGAACCCGGGAGGGGCGCUGGUGGGGAAGCGAGGGAAGGGGAGGAGACUGGGGCCGGCGGCCUGCGCUCCAGCCCUCGGAUGUAAACAGUCGGAGAGCGGGGCGAACCUGCCGCACGCCUACCCUGUCCCUGCUCGCGCGGCGCAGUCUGAGCAAGUGCGCUUCUGUGCUGCGUGUUUACAUCAGCGCGGGGGAACAGCUGCCCUCCCCACGGCCAAUACAUCUCGUACCCACGGCCACGCCGAGUGCGUCCCGGGUCGCCAGGCGCCUCCCUUAGGCUGGGCAAAGAGCAACGUUUGGAAAAAUCGGUAGCGCGCGAUAGGAGGCAAGACGGGGUAUUUAUGGGCGCGCUAGGCUGUGGAGAGUGGUAGUGUAGAUGGGUUGAAAGGAUAAAGGUGCGGGAGGAAAAAUGAUGCCUGGAAUUACGAAAACAAGUCAGCAACACAGUGCCACGUCUACGUGGAGAGUGCCUAAUGAAUAAACACCCCCUGCGUCUGUUGGGUGGGUGUAAUGCAUUAUGCGUUACGUGUGCACAGCUAUCUGGAUUGGGCACUUUCCACCCAGAACGAGUCCCCAGUUUGCUGCCAAAGCAGCACACACCGCCCCGCCCUCGGAGACUUCCACGGGCCCCCGCUCGGGAGGCGCUCGCCCCCCCACCCCCCCAGGUCGGGCUCAUCCCCGGGCUCCUCCUGCGAGUUCCGGAGGUGGAGUCCGGGAGGAGCGCGCUGGCGGGUGCGCGCCGCGGGCCACCGGCCCGGACUGCGCUCUCCGCCGGGCUGCGCCCCGGUCCCACCCCCGCGCCUCGCAGGGUUUUAGAGGAGACGAGUGCUCCUUGCGCCCCGUGGCGCCGGUUUGCACCAGAGUCGCGCUCCCGGGUUGGGGAGAAAUUAAAGGCGCUAGACGGGAGAAUUUGGGAGGGGCAGGACCCGACUGCCCUACACAGGGGAAGGGCUGAGCUUGGGGACCCGGCCUGGGGCGGCUGCGGGGACCCUGGUGCAGAAAACCGUUAACUCUUGCCUCCCCGGACACACCGGACGUUUGCGUCCAGUCUGGAUCCUCUCCUCUCUUCAUUAUUGGGGUCGUGAUCGUGCACACAGAAAAAUGCACCGAUUCUGAUCAAAGCUGAGACGAGGACGCAUGACUUCCGUGCCGUGCCCUUUUGUUGGGGGCGGGGUGGGGACUCGAGCUAAUUAAAAAUUGGGUUCAUGGGCGGCAUUCAUUUCCUAGUUCACUGACUUUGAAUUUUUUUUUUUUCUCGAAUACCGUGCUUAAAGUGUUACUGUUACCUGCAAGCCUGUCUACACAGUGCAUGGACACUUCGACCCGCCUUACUACUCGGCCCGAAACCGGAUUUGUCCGCUCGGUGAAUGGAUCUACAGCUAGUAGACAAUGCACGAUCUCGGUAUUUGGUAUUUUGCAUUAUUCCACGGCAGCAAAACAAAAGCAGUCUUCUCAUCGCUGGUCCCAACACAAAAAGCAUUUUAACUAAACUUUUCCCACCCUCCCCCGGCCCUAAAAAAAAAGAAAAGAAAAGAAAAAGAAACUUGGGGGUGUGUGUGCGUGGAUAGUGCACACACUACUCAAGAUAAGUGAUUUCCCAUUGAGUUUGCAGCUCGGCGUUCAAUGCGUAGUAACUUUCCCUACCGAGGUUCACUGCGCAAUUCGGCUUUAAGGCUGGCAGCCGACUGCAGCCUGCAGGCCUUUGCCGCAAACGCGGGGAGCGGCCAGUCCCCAGCUGGGUUCCCUGCAGAGCGCCUCUUCCCCGCCCCCUCCCCGGGCGGCACCCGCGCUCGGCUUCGCGAACGUGAAGUCAGCGCGCCCUCUGCCGGCCGGCGCCUGCCCGGGCGGGGGCGGUGGGGGCAGGGCGCCCGGAGCCCGCGCCGCGAGGCCUCCAGCCACCCCCCAUCCCCCCCGUGGGGGUCCUUUCGCGCCCACCGCGGAGGGCCGGGCCGGGAGGAGGCCGAGCGAGUGGAGGGAAAGUGCUUCAGAGGCGUGCACUCCACCGCACGGGAGGCGGAGGAGGCUAAACCCGGCUGUCCUCGCAAGUGAACUUCGUCCUGAGGGGAAGCAGCGCUCUUCAUGGGACACGUGCGAGAGUCCACAGGACUUACUGUUCCACAUGUCUGCCAUUUUAUAGAUCCCUCCGUCCAGAGUGCAAGGUGCAUUCUCUGCUUCUGGGUCUUAGCAAUCCAGCUUGGAAUGUUAUUACCUACUUCAGUCCUUACUCAAGGAUUCCAUGAGGGGAUGUGUUGUGAGGUCGGCGCCCUGCUCCUUGGUGGGUGUCUGGUGGCGGAUGCACGUUACAGAGGGCAACGCUGAGCUGGCGACUCUGCUUAUCAUUUUGUGCCUCAGAACUACGUGGCCGUCGCCGCACCGUAGACUCCUGCUGUGCCCGUCGUCCAAACGCGCUUGCACCUGCUGUGCCUUCAGUGUGCCUAGCCUGCUGCCCGUGGGCCACACUGGAAUCUGCAGCCUAGCAGCAGCUCUGCAGGGUGGGAUAUGGGGGAGGGAGCAGACGUUGGAAACCGGCCAGGGGACUUCACAGGCCCAACAAAGAAUUUUUUAAAAGGGUUGAUUUGGUAAUAGGCAGAGGGGAAUUCCACAGAUAAAUAAUAAUUUAUGCAAGGAAUGCCAUCUGCCUCUCUGGUGAAGCCUUAGUGGAUAAUUGCAGGCGCAAUUUCCUUCCAUUCCUGCCCUUCUCCAUUCCACUCCUUAAGUAAUGAUAUUGACACCUUCCAAGCUGACUGUUUGGGUGGGUGGAGUGACACAGGGUACCCAGCUUGGAUGUUGGCAGAAGAGGGUUUGCCAUAAAGCUGAAAUAAUUAAUUGGAAUGCAUUAGGGGAUUAAACACUAAAUAAGAACAUAUUGGAGUUCUGGCUGGUAUAUCCAAAUGUUGUGCUGGAAAUUAAUAAAAACUGGCUUCACUGGA